CCUACGGGGGGCAGCAGUAGGGAAUAUUGCUCAAUGGGGGAAACCCUGAAGCAGCAACGCCGCGUGGAGGAUGAAGGUUCUCGGAUUGUAAACUCCUUUUGUUAGAGAAGAUAAUGACGGUAUCUAACGAAUAAGCACCGGCUAACUCCGUGCCAGCAGCCGCGGUAAUACGGAGGGUGCAAGCGUUACUCGGAAUCACUGGGCGUAAAGAGCGCGUAGGCGGGAUAGCAAGUCAGAUGUGAAAUGCUAUGGCUUAACCAUAGAACUGCAUUUGAAACUGUUAUUCUAGAGUAUGGGAGAGGUAGGUGGAAUGCUUGGUGUAGGGGUAAAAUGCGUAGAGAUCAAGAGGAAUACUCAUUGCGAAGGCGACCUGCUAGAACAUAACUGACGCUGAUGCGCGAAAGCGUGGGGAGCAAACAGGAUUAGAUACCCUUGUAGUC
Molecule: ribosomal RNA, 440 nt
Filed under: uncultured bacterium
Lineage: Bacteria
Description: partial 16S ribosomal RNA
Rfam family: Bacterial small subunit ribosomal RNA
Source: RNAcentral